Molecule: transfer RNA, 69 nt
Filed under: Arenivaga sp. B097
Lineage: Eukaryota; Metazoa; Arthropoda; Insecta; Blattodea; Corydiidae
Description: tRNA-Gln
Source: RNAcentral
UAUAUUGUGGUGUAUGAUGCACAAUAAUUUUUGAUAUUAUAAGUAAUAGUUUAAUUCUAUUUAAUGUAA